CUCUGUUAUGGUUUAUACAGUAUUAGAUUACAAACACAGUUACCAUGUUAAUACACAGGGGUGUACUAACAUGUUGAUUGAAUGACCACAAACAUGGUCCUUCAAUCAAUAUAAUCCAACCCUGCCAUAGAACAUGCAAGGGGUAUGGUCUAAGGAUGCUUUAUUUGUGACAAAAUGAAAUCAGUACAGAUGGUCGUAUGCACGGUGCCCUGUCUGGCUUUAUCAGUGCUUCCUAUGAGGGCUAUUCUUAAUCCCUGUUAAUCUCUGUGAAUGAAAGCCUGCCGUCAUGGCUGCACAGAAAGAGAAUCGACUGUCUCCCUGGCGUGUUAAUUUAACAAGAGAUGCACUGGAUCAUUUUAAACGAGGGAGAGAAGAGGACCUGAGGAAGAGUGAGAACCGCAGGAUGCAACUGCAUUGUGACGUCUUGAAGCUCCAACGGGAACAACACCUCAGGGCGAUGCGUCUGCAGCGGCGGUGUCAGGAGCUGACGGAGCGUGAGGGACGGGCCCGGCGGCGCAACCAGCAGCUGCUGCAGGACUUCCAGAGGGCCGAGGCCACACUGGGGGAGAUGGUGGCCCACACCGCCACCAUGAACACCCUCAGGCUGGAGUAUCAGAGGUACCUUGAGGAGAACUCCCCACGCUGGCACCAGCAGCUGAAGGACCAUACCCAGCGUGCAGAAAAGAAGGUUCCGGAACUUGAGUUUAAACCGCUGCUUUGAACCCCUGAGCAAUACGUGUUCCAUGUCUAUAGUCAUUGUUGAGAGUCUAGUCUGCUCAAGGGAAUUGUGCCGCCUGGCUUGUGUUAAAGUUGAUCCUGUGUAGAUCAUUCCUGACCUUCCUUACAGAUGAUGCUCUGUAGUCUUAUCAGUCAUCUAUGGAGUAAAAGCCCAACCUCUUCUUGCAGAGGCUGGAAGCGCUUCUGAAAGACUUACUGAAGAGGGAAGAGGAACAUGUGACCGCAUCCUUCACUAGAGAGCGCUUCCCCCCCCCCCGAGGUAACCAUUUGUCACAUGGAACGUACAACACCCUGCCAGCCUCCAGGCACACACACUCAGCUUUUACUAAACCUGUAUUUAUAACCGUCUUCUAGAAAACACCCAUUGGCCUCAGAGAGCAACGUCUGAGCCCGAGGCGUUCUGCAGAGCACAUGGCCGCCCGGAGGCCUUCGUCCCCCAAACGAUGCCCUCCUCAUCUUGGCUCACUCAGGCUCACACGUCCCAUGAUGCCUUAUGCUUUCCUUCACCCACCGUGUUCCCGCCACCUCGCCCAUCCCCGGUUCACCACCAAACAUCUCCCCAGACAGGGCCUCCGCCGCGGGGGGCCCCUCAGACCAACGGGACCCCCCCCUCGGUGUCCAGUGAGGUGGGGUCCCCUCCAGGCCUCCAGGCGCCCGGGGCUCCAGGGGCCUUGGCAGGGCCGUCAGGUU
This 1428-nucleotide long non-coding RNA is filed under the name Gadus morhua (Atlantic cod). Its description in RNAcentral is "lncRNA (ENSGMOG00000036444.1)". Lineage: Eukaryota; Metazoa; Chordata; Actinopteri; Gadiformes; Gadidae. The record is from RNAcentral.